Molecule: non-coding RNA, 1231 nt
Organism: Phoenix dactylifera (date palm)
Lineage: Eukaryota; Viridiplantae; Streptophyta; Magnoliopsida; Arecales; Arecaceae
Source: RefSeq, a predicted model, not a curated record
CACCAAAGCAGUUUAAGGUUUUUUUCAGAGUCCAACUCCGAUUCGAGAUGACUCGCCUCUCCUUGGGCAUUCUAGAGAGAGAAAGUGGAGAGAGGAGAGAGAAAGUGGAGAGAACAAGGGAAGGGGAAUCGUGAGGUCCCUCUCUCUCUCUCUCUCUUCUUCUUCCCGUGAAGUGGGAGGAGCUCGGCGGCAGAGCCGGUCAUGGCCGGCGACCCCACGAGCCUAGGGGUACCGGCGGGUUCCCUGCCUGGCGACGGCCGGCCGGAACGGGAGAAAAGAAGGCGGAACAGAGGAAAAGCAAAGAAACUUGUCCGAGACCAAUCCGGUGAUUCGCCGACCAGAUUCGGGGUGGUGACAGUGGCCCAUAGGCCGGAAAAAGGGAUAAAGGGGGCUUACCUCGUCUCUGGCGAGCUUCCCCGGUCGGAUCGACGGCGAAACCUCCCUAGAUCUGCUGCGGAGAAACAAGAGAUCUCAACCUUUAAUGGGAGAUCUUCCGAGGUGGAUGCCAAAGGAGAGGAAGAGAGGUCCUUUUAUAGAUGAAAUUCAGUCCGAAGAUGAGGUACGUGAGCACGCUAUAUAUGACCUACAACAUCCGAUACUGCUCAAUUUAACAACAGAUACAGUUAAUAAAAACAAGUAUCUACAGUCCAAGGAAUCGGCAUUGGAGACUGCUUUUCUUAUCAGAUAGGUUACAGAGAGCUAAAAUUUGGGCCAUCCUAUGCAUCUCUCGACAGCUAAAUCUUUCAAAGUUUAUGGGGCAGUUGUGCUAUAUGAGAAAUUGUUCUUUGAAGGGCUUCAUAUUGCGAUCCCAAAUCAAGUGAUGCUUCUGCCACCAAGCUAAGUUGAUUGAUGGCCUGAUUUUGCUGCUCUGCUCAGCCCAGAAUUGUUAUGAAGAGGAUGACAAUUUAUUCAUCUACUUAUGAUUCGAUCCGCAAGAUGCUUUUGCAAGACUUUGUAAAGUUUCCUUCCAUCAUGAAGUUAAAAUGGGUUCAUCAUCUCCACUGUCGUCAUCACCAAAAUCUUUUCCUGUCAUAUAUAACUAAGUUGAGUUCGCCCCACGUAGGCAACUGGUUCUUUCUACAAGAAAUGUUGAAAUUGACGCAAGAGCUCGAUUGCGAAAAAGAAAAAAGGGGACCAGAGUGAUGCUGUUUGUCGUGUAUGAAUGUAAUGUAUACUCAGCCUUUGAUGUCUUAAUGGAAGAAAGAAAACAUCGAAAUAAUUUGAAUUCAAA